This 727-nucleotide long non-coding RNA is filed under the name Oryza sativa Indica Group (long-grained rice). RNAcentral describes it as "lncRNA OsMH63_07G022800". The record is from RNAcentral. Lineage: Eukaryota; Viridiplantae; Streptophyta; Magnoliopsida; Poales; Poaceae.
AUGGCGUCGACGCCGACUGGCGGCGUCCAGAUCCGGUGCUGUGGUGCCCGGAUCCUGUCCCCCAACGACGGGCGGCGGCGUCCUGCUCGGCGGCAAGUUUUGGCGGUGGGUUUGGGCGGUGACGACCAGGCGGGAGACGUUGCCGGAGCUAGCUCCGAUAGCCGAGCACGGAGGCGCGGCCGGACGACGGGUGUGGCGGUGGAGGUGCUGCGAGAGCCGGUGGUGACGUCGGCGAUGCGGGAGGAGGCAACGACGUCUCUAGCUAGAUCUAGCUGGCGGCGGCGGCGACUGCCUAUGGCAGCAGUGACGGUGGCGACGGCUGUGGCGGCAUCGACUGCGGCGGUUGGCUGGCGAGGCAACGGUCGUGGUGGUCGAGGCGUCGUGGAGGCGGUUGUGCAGCCUCGUGGGUGGCGAGGCCUGCUGUGCAGGCGUCGUGGAGGCCGGCGGCGUGUGGUUGUCGUGGAGGCCAGCGUCGUGCGGCAGCGGGAGGGCGUCAUGGAGGCCGGCGGCGGUGUGGAGUCGCGACCGGCGACAUCGGGUGCUGGUGGCUGCAGGCUGCGAUGGCGGACGGCUUGUGGCGUUGGCCGUGGCGACCGUGGACAUGGCUGCAGUGGAGGAGGUGAGGAUGGUGACGGCGAGGUGGCUGGGCAUUCGGCAGCAGCGGCUGCGGUGGCGGUGACCACGGUCACCGGAGGCAUGGCGGCUUCGGACGGCUAGCCGAGGAUGU